This 420-nucleotide ribosomal RNA is filed under the name Fusobacteriota bacterium. RNAcentral describes it as "Fusobacteria bacterium partial 16S ribosomal RNA". It matches the Rfam family "Bacterial small subunit ribosomal RNA", at positions 355 to 776 of the family's 1533-position model. Lineage: Bacteria; Fusobacteriati; Fusobacteriota. The record is from RNAcentral.
UGGGGGAUAUUGCACAAUGGGCGAAAGCCUGAUGCAGCGACGCCGCGUGGGGGAUGAAGGCUUUCGGGUUGUAAACCUCUUUCGCUAUCGAACAAGGCCCGCUUAGGGUGGGUUGAGGGUAGGUGGAGAAGAAGCGCCGGCUAACCACGUGCCAGCAGCCGCGGUAAUACGUAGGGCGCGAGCGUUGUCCGGAAUUAUUGGGCGUAAAGGGCUUGUAGGCGGCUUGUUGCGCCUGCUGUGAAAACGCGGGGCUUAACUUCGCGCGUGCAGUGGGUACGGGCAGGCUUGGGUGUGGUAGGGGUGACUGGAAUUCCAGGUGUAGCGGUGGAAUGCGCAGAUAUCUGGAGGAACACCGAUGGCGAAGGCAGGUCACUGGGCCAUUACUGACGCUGAGGAGCGAAAGCAUGGGUAGCGAACAGG